UACAUAGGGUGCAAGCGUUGUCCGGAAUUAUUGGGCGUAAAGAGCUCGUAGGUGGUUCGUCACGUCGGAUGUGAAACUCUGGGGCUUAACCCCAGACCUGCAUUCGAUACGGGCGAGCUUGAGUAUGGUAGGGGAGUCUGGAAUUCCUGGUGUAGCGGUGGAAUGCGCAGAUAUCAGGAGGAACACCAAUGGCGAAGGCAGGACUCUGGGCCAUUACUGACACUGAGGAGCGAAAGCGUGGGGAG
Molecule: ribosomal RNA, 245 nt
Filed under: uncultured Actinomycetales bacterium
Lineage: Bacteria; Bacillati; Actinomycetota; Actinomycetes; Actinomycetales
Description: partial 16S ribosomal RNA
Rfam family: Bacterial small subunit ribosomal RNA
Source: RNAcentral